GGCUGGUCUGAUGGUAGUGGGUUAUCAUCAUUUAUUAACAUUAGUGUCACUAAAGUUGGUAUAAAACCCCCGACUGCUAAAUUUGACUGGCUAGAA
Nomascus leucogenys (northern white-cheeked gibbon) is the source of this 96-nucleotide unclassified non-coding RNA. It matches the Rfam family "Y RNA". Rfam says of the family: Y RNAs are components of the Ro ribonucleoprotein particle (Ro RNP), in association with Ro60 and La proteins. The Y RNAs and Ro60 and La proteins are well conserved, but the function of the Ro RNP is not known. The record is from Ensembl. Lineage: Eukaryota; Metazoa; Chordata; Mammalia; Primates; Hylobatidae.